CUAAGGCAUUAGGAUAAAGAGGAUUUUUUUUUAGUCCUCUUUUUAGUCAACUUUAGCAUGGGUUAAUAAACUUCUGAGCACCAC
Etheostoma spectabile (orangethroat darter) is the source of this 84-nucleotide long non-coding RNA. RefSeq lists it as uncharacterized. The transcript is spliced from 3 exons. The record is from RefSeq and is a predicted model, not a curated record. Lineage: Eukaryota; Metazoa; Chordata; Actinopteri; Perciformes; Percidae.